GAUGAACGCUGGCGGCGUGUCUAAUACAUGCGAGUCGAGCGAACGGACGAGAAGCUUGCUUCUCUGAUGUUAGCGGCGGACGGGUGAGUAACACGUGGAUAACCUACCUAUAAGACUGGGAUAACUUCGGGAAACCGGAGCUAAUACCGGAUGAUAUUUUGAACCGCAUGGUUCAAAAGUGAAAGACGGUCUUGCUGUCACUUAUAGAUGGAUCCGCGCUGCAUUAGCUAGUUGGUAAGGUAAUGGCUUACCAAGGCAACGAUGCAUAGCCGACCUGAGAGGGUGAUCGGCCACACUGGAACUGAGACACGGUCCAGACUCCUACGGGAGGCAGCAGUAGGGAAUCUUCCGCAAUGGGCGAAAGCCUGACGGAGCAACGCCGCGUGAGUGAUGAAGGUCUUCGGAUCGUAAAACCCUGUUAUUAGGGAAGAACAUAUGUGUAAGUAACUGUGCACAUCUUGACGGUACCUAAUCAGAAAGCCACGGCUAACUACGUG
RNAcentral lists this ribosomal RNA (497 nucleotides) under uncultured bacterium. Its description in RNAcentral is "partial 16S ribosomal RNA". It matches the Rfam family "Bacterial small subunit ribosomal RNA", at positions 28 to 507 of the family's 1533-position model. The record is from RNAcentral.